Molecule: long non-coding RNA, 3663 nt
Organism: Brassica napus (rape)
Lineage: Eukaryota; Viridiplantae; Streptophyta; Magnoliopsida; Brassicales; Brassicaceae
Exons: 2
Source: RefSeq, a predicted model, not a curated record
UAAUUGUUAAUAGAAUUUCACAUUUAAAAAUAUUUUUUUACUUAGAUUUUAUAUAAUUUUUACUUAUAUUUUUAUAUGAUUAUAUUAAAGUUGAUUGAUUAUAAUAUGAUUGAUUAUGAUCAAAAUAAUAUGAUUGAUUAUCGUCAAAAUAUAGACCAAAUAAUUUAAUUAAUGAUGUAUCAAAUCUUAAAUUUUCAAUAUAUUUGGAUAGUAUUUAGUAAAUUAUAUUGAAAACCACAUUUGAAUUUAUAAAAUAUGAAAAUACAUACCAAAUAAUAUAGUGAAAUAAUAUAAAAGUCUAAUUUCCAAAAUUUAAUUAAUAUAUAUACACUAAAAUAAACUAUUUUCGUAUUUUAUAAGUAAAAAUAGAAAAACAAAUUUUAAAAAUUAAAAAGAAAACUUGUUAUAAACUAAUAACUGUAUAAAUCAAUAAAAUAUAUUAGUUUCAACAUUAUUAAUUAAUAGAGUUUUUAGUAUAUUUAAAAUUUAACCGCUUUAUUUGACAAAAACAAAACAAAACAUGCCAUUAAUAUCAGAAAGUAACAGAGGGAUUUGUUAGGAAACUCGGUGGCUUUCACAAUAAAGCUUAUGUGUCCUAUCGUCAAGCUUUCCAUAGUUUACAAAAGUCAAACCAAAAGCCUAAUACAACAAAAACACUUCAUUUACUAUGUGUCUAAAUAAUCCGACUUUAUUUAUUACAAAAUUAUAAAACUUAACUUAUCUAUUUUGAAGUGUUUUAUCAUAUCUUUUACAUUUAUUUCUCAUUUUUUUAACUAUUUCAUUAAUUAUUUUUACUAUUCACUUUGUUUCCGAAAUUAAGAUUUUCUAAAGUGUUGACGCUUAUUAAAAAUUCAAUAAAUAUUUAUAAUUUAAUUUUUAUUUUAUUUUAUUAUACACUUUCCAAUAACUUUUCACCAAUGAAUUUAAUCAAUUCAAAUAUUUUCAUUUAAUGUUUUUUAAAAGUAUAAAAAGUACCUUAAAUAUAUAGAAAAUCUAUCUUUGUGGAAUAAGUAAAAAAUCUAAAAUAUCUUACUUUCGGGAACAGAGGGAAUAUAAUAUUUUGACAACAUUUAUUUACAUAUUAACCAUAAUAAUUCGACAUGUUUGAAUAAAAUUGAUCAAUCUGUGAUAAAUUUUCAAAAUGGUUAACAAAGAGUUUUAUAUAUAUUCGGCUACACGUUCAGGUACGAGUUAUUUUUUUUGGACAUUAUUUUUUUUUUAAAUGAAGCUUCAUUCGGUUAUUAUAAAUUUUCGAGUAGAUUUUUCGUCGAAUCCUCCAAGUUCGUAUGAAUUCGGUUUUGAAGUAUAGAGACCAAAAAAUAUCCAAAAACUAAUGUAUCUAAAACAUAUUCGGAUAUUUUUACCAAAAGUAAGCAUACUAACAGAUUUGGUUCAUGUAUUUUGAAUCCAAACUAAAAAUAACUAAAUAACCAAAAGUAUAUAUUACCCAAUUUGAUCCAGAUUCAUUUAUGAUGUAUAUUAAUCUAAAAAAAUUCAGAUACUUAUGCGAUUAGUUAUAUGAUGUCACAUAUAAAAUAUAUAACAUCAAUCGUGAAAAGAAUUAUUAUUUUAUGAAAAAGUAAAAAUUAACACCUUCUUUCACGGUGACAAUAGCUUCCCUCGUACCUUCCCCAUCCCCAGGAGCAGCAGGACCAUCACGAUCAUCAGGAUAUCACACCACAACCGGAACCGCAACGACCCGUCUCGUAGCUCGUAUACUCAUUUUUUUUUAUCAUUGUGCUCCAUGAUUUUUUUUGGUUUGCCUGAUUGGAAAAACGUUUGAGAGGGAACUUGGUGCUUUUUGGUGGGUCUUAGACAGAGACAUUUGCGUCUCAGUAGUGGUCACUUGUGUCCAAUGUUAACACUUGGACGACUCGUUGCGUACGCCACGUGCAUGUGUCAUGGGGAUGGGGCCUUAUACUCGUGAUGAUACAAUUGCUACUUGUCACGUAUACCCUCUAAUGGCCUCGCAACUUAGCUAUCGUCUUUAGAUGCUUUGGCCUCAUCCACCACAAUAACUCUACUUUCGUUCUCUUCGGAUAAAUGUAAAAUUUUAUAUGCGUUCAAGACGCACCGAAUCUCUUCGACUAAUCUAAGAUAUGGCACUAAAUGCAAAAUCAGUGUAGGUCCAUACUCCACAGGUUUCUAAUGCCGACAGUGCGAAGAAAUAUGCCUUCCCAUUUUAAAUUGAACAAUAAAAAUACCGCACACAAAAAUAAAUAACGAAACAAGACUUGUGAGUAUCUUGACAAGAUUAUAAAAGAAAACAAAGUGGGAAAUAAAAAGAACUUCUCCUGCAUGUGUGAUAUUGACAUAAAUAAAAAAAGUAUCAAACAAAAAAGAUAAAGUCACUGUAGCCUUUCCCUUACGUGGGCUUUGGUAGGUAAAUCAAUUAAUUACGUUUAGCCUUUAAUGUGAUUGUAAAAAGAUUUCGUACGGUCCAACUUGAUAUCCAGGCAACCUAAAUACAUAGUCGAAAUAGAACGCAUUCAACUCUUACCACUUUUCUAAAGACAAAUCACCUAAGAGCACCAUUAUCGCGGGCUCUUAAAGCCCGUAUUCAAUGUUUUCAGAUUUAAAAGAAAAGAAAAAUUGGCUAAUUAAAGAAGAGACGUCGCUUAAUUAAGCCACACAAGAGACGGGUUUUGUGAACACGUGUCAUUAUCUCAUCCCUUUCUCUCUCUACCAAAGCAUUCUCUCUCUUUCUUUUGUGUCUCCUCGGCGACUCCGACUCCAUCUGCUGAUCUCUCCUCCACGAUGACCCAUCAGCGACGACUCUGACUCCAUCAACCGGCGACUCCGACGAUGACCUCUCCGCGACGACUCCGACGCCAUCAGCCGACUCAGAGACUCACUUCUCGUCAACCUCACGUUUUCCUCCGCCGCGUCUUCUUCGCACACAGAUUAAAACGAGGCUAGCAGCCGAUAAAAGAGAAAGAAGUUAAAGAGAAAAAGGAGAAGAACGUGAGAUGGAGAAAGGUGAACUAGAGAAGAAGGAAACAAAGGUGGAGAAGAAGUACACAGUUUGAGAUGGGGUUUCGAAAAAGAGAUCCGGAUCAGAUAUGAGUUUGGGAGAUCACAUAUGGAGUUUCUCUUAAUAGAGGACGUGGCAGGGAAGCCAUAGAAACUGACGUCUCUGUCAUUGGAGUAACGACUUCGUUGUGGUGUGCCUUGCUUCCUACGCAAGCAUCAGAAGUAGCAGCUCAAAUCUGGGAGGUUCAACUGUUCUGUUGCAGCAAAUUCAAGAGAGCGUGGGAGGUUCAUUUGUAUGCUGAUCUGACUGAAACUUUGUACAGAUGUAGGGGACACUGCAGACUCAGAAUUCAACGGUGUGAUCGAAAAGUGGACGGUUAGUUUAUUAGUUAUUCAUGUAUUUCUGAACAGGUUUGGUACAUUGUGAAACAGAGUGGUAUGUUGAUGGAUCGUCUUGUUUGGUUGGGAAAAUGAGCUCGGACUGAGCUCAUAUUUGGCAGGAACCUUAUGGACUCGUGGCUUAGAUCUGAUUGUUAGUUAGGAAUUCUAUGAUUAUAUGGUGAAGGUUGCAAAGUGUGUUACACUUAAUAAGGUUAACUUUACUUGCUAUCUCCUUGGAUUUGUUAUUAGUGAAAUUGUUAUAGGGAACAUUGUUUUGAAGAUGGUUAAGCUUUCUUAUUUGUUUGUCCA